AGAAGAAGAUGAAGAAGAAGAAGAAGAAGAAGAAGAAGAAGAAAGUAUAAAUAUGAUAAAAAACAUUACUCUCACGCAUCAUCAUCUUCUUCUCUUCUUCUUCUUCUUCUUAACUG
Molecule: microRNA precursor, 116 nt
Filed under: Bigelowiella natans CCMP2755
Lineage: Eukaryota; Cercozoa; Chlorarachniophyceae
Description: miRNA EPrBNAG00000013333
Source: RNAcentral